GCCUUCGUGGUGUAGUUGUCAGCACUCUCGACGUUUAACCGAGUAGUCCGUAGUUCGAUUCCCGGCAAAGGCG
Molecule: transfer RNA, 73 nt
Filed under: Stegodyphus mimosarum
Lineage: Eukaryota; Metazoa; Arthropoda; Arachnida; Araneae; Eresidae
Rfam family: tRNA
About the family: Transfer RNA (tRNA) molecules are approximately 80 nucleotides in length.
Source: Rfam by way of RNAcentral